Molecule: ribosomal RNA, 541 nt
Filed under: uncultured bacterium
Lineage: Bacteria
Description: bacterial SSU rRNA
Rfam family: Bacterial small subunit ribosomal RNA
Source: RNAcentral
GGAAUAUUGGACAAUGGGCGAAAGCCUGAUCCAGCAAUGCCGCGUGAGUGAUGAAGGCCUUAGGGUUGUAAAGCUCUUUUACCAGGGAUGAUAAUGACAGUACCUGGAGAAUAAGCUCCGGCUAACUCCGUGCCAGCAGCCGCGGUAAUACGGAGGGAGCUAGCGUUGUUCGGAAUUACUGGGCGUAAAGAGUACGUAGGCGGUUAUUCAAGUCAGAGGUGAAAGCCUGGAGCUCAACUCCAGAACUGCCUUUGAAACUAGAUAGCUAGAAUCUUGGAGAGGUGAGUGGAAUUCCGAGUGUAGAGGUGAAAUUCGUAGAUAUUCGGAAGAACACCAGUGGCGAAGGCGACUCACUGGACAAGUAUUGACGCUGAGGUACGAAAGCGUGGGGAGCAAACAGGAUUAGAUACCCUGGUAGUCCACGCCGUAAACGAUGAUAACUAGCUGUUCGGGCUCUACGAGCUUGAGUGGCGCAGCUAACGCAUUAAGUUAUCCGCCUGGGGAGUACGGUCGCAAGAUUAAAACUCAAAGGAAUUGACGG